GACGAACGCUGGCGGCGUGCUUAACACAUGCAAGUCGAACGGAAAGGCCCUGCUUUUGUGGGGUGCUCGAGUGGCGAACGGGUGAGUAACACGUGAGUAACCUGCCCUUGACUUUGGGAUAACUUCAGGAAACUGGGGCUAAUACCGGAUAGGAGCUCCUGCUGCAUGGGGGGGGUUGGAAAGUUUCGGCGGUUGGGGAUGGACUCGCGGCUUAUCAGCUUGUUGGUGGGGUAGGGGCUUACCAAGGCUGUGACGGGUAGCCGGCCUGGGAGGGUGACCGGCCACAUUGGUACUGAGGUACGGCCCAGACUCCUACGGGAGGCAGUAGGGGGGAAUCUUGCGCAACGGGCGGAAGCCUGAUGCAGCAACGCCGCGUGCGGGAUGACGGCCUUCGGGGUGUAAACCGCUUUCGCCUGUGCCGAAGAGUGAGUGACGGUAACGGGUAAAGAAGCACCGGCUAACUACGUG
RNAcentral lists this ribosomal RNA (468 nucleotides) under uncultured bacterium. Its description in RNAcentral is "partial 16S ribosomal RNA". It matches the Rfam family "Bacterial small subunit ribosomal RNA", at positions 28 to 507 of the family's 1533-position model. The record is from RNAcentral.